Molecule: ribosomal RNA, 1212 nt
Filed under: uncultured bacterium
Lineage: Bacteria
Description: partial 16S ribosomal RNA
Rfam family: Bacterial small subunit ribosomal RNA
Source: RNAcentral
GCAUCAUGGGAUUUGAGACACAGGCCCGAGUUUCGUACGGGAAGGCAUGCCAUAUGCAAUUCGCCAAUGGGCCCAAGGCUUGAUCCAAGCCAUUCCGCUGGCAGAUCGAAGGCCUUCGGUUGUAAUUGCUUGUGACCGAAGGCGAAAAAGCCUUGGGUAAAUACCCCGAGGUUCAUGACGGUUUCCCGUAAGAAAUAAGCACGGGCUAAAUACGUGCCAGCAAGCCGCGGUAAUACGUAGGGUGCAAAGCGUUAAUCGGAAUACUGGGCGUAAAGCGUGCGCAGGCCGGUUAUGUAAGACAGAGGUGGAAUCCCCCGGGCUCACCCUGGGAACUGCCCUUUUGUGACUGCAUAGCUCGAGUGCGGCAGAGGGGGAUGGAAAUUCCGCGUGUAGCAGUGAAAUGCGUAGAGAUCAGGAGGAAAUACCGAUGGCGAGGGCAGCCCCCUGGGCUAGUACUGACGCUCAUGCACGAAAGCGUGGGGAGCAAACAGGAUUAGAUACCCUGGUAGUCCACGCCCUAAACGAUGUCAAUUAGUUGUUGGUCCUUUAUUGGAUUAGUAACGUAGCUAACGCGUGAAAUUGACCGCCUGGGGAGUACGGUCGCAAGAUUAAAACUCAAAGGAAUUGACGGGGACCCGCACAAGCGGUGGAUGAUGUGGAUUAAUUCGAUGCAACGCGAAAAACCUUACCUACCCUUGACAUGGUCGGAAUCCCGCAGAGAUGUGGGAGUGCUCGAAAGAGAACCGGCACACAGGUGCUGCAUGGCUGUCGUCAGCUCGUGUCGUGAGAUGUUGGGUUAAGUCCCGCAACGAGCGCAACCCUUGUCAUUAGUUGCUACGAAAGGGCACUCUAAUGAGACUGCCGGUGACAAACCGGAGGAAGGUGGGGAUGACGUCAAGUCCUCAUGGCCCUUAUGGGUAGGGCUUCACACGUCAUACAAUGGUCGGUACAGAGGGCUGCCAACCCGUAAGGGGGAGCCAAUCCCUUAAAACCGAUCGUAGUCCGGAUUGAGGUCUGCAACUCGACCUCAUGAAGUCGGAAUCGCUAGUAAUCGCGGAUCAGCAUGUCGCGGUGAAUACGUUCCCGGGUCUUGUACACACCGCCCGUCACACCAUGGGAGCGGGUUUUACCAGAAGUAGCUAGCCUAACCGUAAGGAGGGCGAUUACCACGGCGGGGUUCGUGACUGGGGUGAAGUCGUAACAAGGUAACCA